GCUGCUGUGUCUUAUGUUCUGUUUCCUGGUGUCAAAAUAGACAUAGUCAACAACACAAAAUUGCAGGGUUUUUUUUUUACAUUAACAAAAAUGUUUUGUUGGCAUAUAAAAGACAAGCAACAGUCUGGUAGAACAUAAAAAGAAGAAAUGAUAAAAAUUACAGUACCUAGCUCAAACUUUAGAUAAAGAAAAAUCUAUGAUAGAGAUUGGAGGUACCAUUGACAAAAUUAAAUCCCCUGCAAUCACAUUUUUCUGCACGAUCGUGAAAUUAAGUACUUGCGAAAUGUGCUAAGAAAAUAUCUGCAAAAAUUAAGACACUCGAAAAUAAAGAAGAAUAAGGUAAAAUGACCCUAUGGUGGCAAGCGACCACAUUAUCACAUUAUUAUCGCAAUGUAGUUUCCAUAUAACUGCACACGAACGCAGGAUUCUGAUCUCACCAUGCCGAUCCAGGAGAGAAUCUUUACAUGAUUGAAUUACUCAUACCUUUGGUUCCAUUUUACGAAGAAAUCUCCAAGACCUUUUCACAGACUUUGAUGGACUCUUCAAUCAUUCUACCAGUCAAGCACAAUAUCCACUAGACUGACCCCAUUUCAGAAGUUGAAUAGAAGUUGUGGUUUACUUUCGCGAGUGAUUCGACACGGUUGACAUACACAACUCGUCUCUCGCAAAUAUCUCUCGAUUACGCAAUAGAAUUGAGGAAAUAAGAUACUCGGAUGAGACCCCUGACUUCUAGCGGAGUCCUUUACUUGUCUGGACGGGUUAUAACAACCUUAUCUAUACCUUUUUUCUCAAGAGAAAGUCCAACAUUACAGUUAGCUUCAGAUUCCUUUCUUCUCCCAUCUCCACGGAUUUUAAGGCUAGUUUUUAGACAUGAACUGUAGAAAUGGUCUGAUAGCCAAGCAUCUCCAGAUUGCUCAAAGUACUGAGCUAGUGCUAACAGACUGCUGUACACAUGGUCCAUUUUACCUGUUGAAGGAAAUAUGGGUCAAAAUAGUGGUCAUUUUUUUCAAAAAAUGGAGAUCUCCCACCUUGCUUCAUCUUGUUUUUAUUUGGUGGUUUAAAAUUGGAAUAUUUGAUCCAAAACCACAAUGGACACAUAUAGUAAUUCAAGCUAUAAGCUUGACACGCAAGAAACCUACCUCAACUACUGGAAUGCAGCAUUUGCCUUUUACAUUUGCAUCAAACGAAGCGUGCCCAUCAUGAGGGUAGUUGAGGUACGUUUCCAUUCGAGUACAUGUGCAUGCUUAUAGCUGGAAUGACCUAUUAGUCACAGCUCUAGCAUACAGUGGCGUAGCCAGGAUUUUUAACAGGAGGGGGCCCAAAAGGCCCAGUGAAGGCAUUUGCUCCUGUAUUUAAAAUAAUGACUCAUACAUUUACUGUAUUUUUGGCUGCUAGAAGGGGGGGCCCGGGCCCCCUGGGCCAUGCUCCUGGCUAAGCCCCUGGCAUACCUCUUCUUUUAGCUGCUUCAGCUGUGGUCAGGUGGUACUUUAGCUGGUCCAGCUUGUCGGCAUCCUCCUCUAGUAAUACCUGGUUGGCCAGGCCACUAUCUGGACCAAGCCGUUCCUGUUCCUCCCGCUGUUGUCUCAUCAGGUUAAACAGCUCACAGAAUGACUGGUGGAAGCCAUCACGAAGCAUGUCCAGGCAUAGGUUAUGCUCAUAUGUAUUGCGAUACCUGACAAUAGAUCAAAAUUCAGCUGUUUGUCAAAAUAA
RNA transcript from Nematostella vectensis (starlet sea anemone), 1710 nucleotides. It is a transcript of the gene named riboflavin-binding protein, with no coding region annotated. The record is from RefSeq and is a predicted model, not a curated record. NCBI's taxonomy places the organism in Eukaryota, Metazoa, Cnidaria, Anthozoa, Actiniaria, Edwardsiidae. The transcript has 4 exons.